Oreochromis niloticus (Nile tilapia) is the source of this 348-nucleotide long non-coding RNA. RefSeq lists it as uncharacterized. NCBI's taxonomy places the organism in Eukaryota, Metazoa, Chordata, Actinopteri, Cichliformes, Cichlidae. The record is from RefSeq and is a predicted model, not a curated record. The transcript is spliced from 4 exons.
GGUGGAGUAAGGAGGAUUUCCACAAAGAAUACAGAACUGUUUCUGAUAUUACACAUCUGUGGAAAAGAACACUAUACAUCGGGCGAAGACAACUGGAUGAACUUCCUGAAACCCUCAUAGGACAAAAUGUUGCAGAACAGUGUAUCUUCCACGUGUUCCAUAUGUGGAAGAGGCUUUAAUUACAUACAGCGAGGACAAUCUACUGGGAGAAGGGACAUUUGGCAAGGUAUAUAGAGGUUCUUUUCAUGGUACUCCAGCAGCUGUUAAAAGGAUCGUGUGUGGCCAACAAGGGAUGGAGGACAGCGACAUUCAUCAUGAGAUAAAUGUUUCACUGAGACUGUCUCACCC